AUUGAACGCUGGCGGCAGGCCUAACACAUGCAAGUCGAGCGGCAGCGACUUAACUGAACCUUCGGGGAACGUUAAGGGCGGCGAGCGGCGGACGGGUGAGUAAUGCCUGGGAAUAUGCCCUGAUGUGGGGGAUAACUAUUGGAAACGAUAGCUAAUACCGCAUAAUCUCUUCGGAGCAAAGAGGGGGACCUUCGGGCCUCUCGCGUCAGGAUUAGCCCAGGUGGGAUUAGCUUGUUGGUGAGGUAAUGGCUCACCAAGGCAACGAUCCCUAGCUGGUCUGAGAGGAUGAUCAGCCACACUGGAACUGAGACACGGUCCAGACUCCUACGGGAGGCAGCAGUGGGGAAUAUUGCACAAUGGGGGAAACCCUGAUGCAGCCAUGCCGCGUGUGUGAAGAAGGCCUUCGGGUUGUAAAGCACUUUCAGUAGGGAGGAAGGUAGUGUAGUUAACACCUGCAUUAUUUGACGUUACCUACAGAAGAAGCACCGGCUAACUCCGUGCCAGCAGCCGCGGUAAUACGGAGGGUGCGAGCGUUAAUCGGAAUUACUGGGCGUAAAGCGCAUGCAGGCGGCCUGUUAAGUCAGAUGUGAAAGCCCGGGGCUUAACCUCGGAAUUGCAUUUGGAACUGGCAGGCUAGAGUCUUGUAGAGGGGGGUAGAAUUUCAGGUGUAGCGGUGAAAUGCGUAGAGAUCUGAAGGAAUACCAGUGGCGAAGCGGCCCCCUGGACAAAGACUGACGCUCAGAUGCGAAAGCGUGGGGAGCAAACAGG
RNAcentral lists this ribosomal RNA (768 nucleotides) under uncultured bacterium. RNAcentral describes it as "bacterial SSU rRNA". It matches the Rfam family "Bacterial small subunit ribosomal RNA", at positions 28 to 776 of the family's 1533-position model. The record is from RNAcentral.